UACAGAGGUCUCAAGCGUUGUUCGGAUUCAUUGGGCGUAAAUGGUGCGUAGGCGGCGCGGUAAGUCGGGUGUGAAAUCUCGGGGCUUAACUCCGAAACUGCAUUCGAUACUGCCGUGCUUGAGGACUGGAGAGGAGACUGGAAUUUACGGUGUAGCGGUGAAAUGCGUAGAUAUCGUAAGGAAGACCAGUGGCGAAGGCGGGUCUCUGGACAGUUCCUGACGCUGAGGCACGAAGGCCAGGGGAGCAAACGGG
RNAcentral lists this ribosomal RNA (253 nucleotides) under uncultured bacterium. RNAcentral describes it as "partial 16S ribosomal RNA". It matches the Rfam family "Bacterial small subunit ribosomal RNA", at positions 524 to 776 of the family's 1533-position model. The record is from RNAcentral.